RNAcentral lists this ribosomal RNA (253 nucleotides) under uncultured bacterium. RNAcentral describes it as "partial 16S ribosomal RNA". It matches the Rfam family "Bacterial small subunit ribosomal RNA", at positions 524 to 776 of the family's 1533-position model. The record is from RNAcentral.
GACGUAGGGGGCCAGCGUUGUUCGGAAUUACUGGGUGUAAAGGGUUCGUAGGCGGUGCGGCAAGUCGGGAGUGAAAUCUCUGGGCUUAACCCAGAGGCUGCUUCCGAAACUGCUGUGCUUGAGUGUGGGAGAGGCGCGUGGAAUUGCAGGUGUAGCGGUGAAAUGCGUAGAUAUCUGGAGGAAUACCGGUGGCGAAGGCGGCAUCCUGGACCGGCAUUGACGCUGAGGAGCGAAAGCUAGGGGAGCAAACGGG